This 2483-nucleotide ribosomal RNA is filed under the name Streptococcus pneumoniae. Its description in RNAcentral is "bacterial LSU rRNA". It matches the Rfam family "Bacterial large subunit ribosomal RNA", at positions 428 to 2925 of the family's 2925-position model. The record is from RNAcentral. Lineage: Bacteria; Bacillati; Bacillota; Bacilli; Lactobacillales; Streptococcaceae.
GAAAUCCCGUCGGAAUCUGGGAGGACCAUCUCCCAACCCUAAAUACUCCCUAGUGACCGAUAGUGAACCAGUACCGUGAGGGAAAGGUGAAAAGCACCCCGGGAGGGGAGUGAAAUAGAACCUGAAACCGUGUGCCUACAACAAGUUCGAGCCCGUUAAUGGGUGAGAGCGUGCCUUUUGUAGAAUGAACCGGCGAGUUACGUUAUGAUGCGAGGUUAAGUUGAAGAGACGGAGCCGUAGGGAAACCGAGUCUGAAUAGGGCGCCUUAGUAUCAUGACGUAGACCCGAAACCAUGUGACCUACCCAUGAGCAGGUUGAAGGUGCGGUAAGACGCACUGGAGGACCGAACCAGGGCACGUUGAAAAGUGCUUGGAUGACUUGUGGGUAGCGGAGAAAUUCCAAACGAACUUGGAGAUAGCUGGUUCUCUCCGAAAUAGCUUUAGGGCUAGCGUCGACAUUAGAGAUUCUUGGAGGUAGAGCACUGUUUGGGUGAGGGGUCCAUCCCGGAUUACCAAUCUCAGAUAAACUCCGAAUGCCAAUGAAUUAUGGUCGGCAGUCAGACUGCGAGUGCUAAGAUCCGUAGUCGAAAGGGAAACAGCCCAGACCACCAGCUAAGGUCCCAAAAUAAUUGUUAAGUGGAAAAGGAUGUGGGGUUGCACAGACAACUAGGAUGUUAGCUUAGAAGCAGCUAUUCAUUCAAAGAGUGCGUAAUAGCUCACUAGUCGAGUGACCCUGCGCCGAAAAUGUACCGGGGCUAAAACAAUUUACCGAAGCUGUGGAUACCUUUAUAGGUAUGGUAGGAGAGCGUUCUAUGUGUGAUGAAGGUAUACCGUGAGGAGUGCUGGAACGCAUAGAAGUGAGAAUGCCGGUAUGAGUAGCGAAAGACAGGUGAGAAUCCUGUCCACCGUAAGACUAAGGUUUCCAGGGGAAGGCUCGUCCGCCCUGGGUUAGUCGGGACCUAAGGAGAGACCGAAAGGUGUAUCCGAUGGACAACAGGUUGAUAUUCCUGUACUAGAGUAUGUAGUGAUGGAGGGACGCAGUAGGCUAACUAAAGCAGACGAUUGGAAGAGUCUGUCUAAGCAGUGAGGUGUGAAUUGAGUCAAAUGCUUAAUUCUAUAACAUUGAGCUGUGAUGGGGAGCGAAGUUUAGUAGCGAAGUUAGUGACGUCACACUGCCAAGAAAAGCUUCUAGCGUUUAAACAUACUCUACCCGUACCGCAAACCGACACAGGUAGUCGAGGCGAGUAGCCUCAGGUGAGCGAGAGAACUCUCGUUAAGGAACUCGGCAAAAUGACCCCGUAACUUCGGGAGAAGGGGUGCUGACUUAAAGUCAGCCGCAGUGAAUAGGUCCAAGCAACUGUUUAUCAAAAACACAGCUCUCUGCUAAAUCGUAAGAUGAUGUAUAGGGGGUGACGCCUGCCCGGUGCUGGAAGGUUAAGAGGAGUGCUUAGCGUAAGCGAAGGUAUGAAUUGAAGCCCCAGUAAACGGCGGCCGUAACUAUAACGGUCCUAAGGUAGCGAAAUUCCUUGUCGGGUAAGUUCCGACCCGCACGAAAGGCGUAAUGAUUUGGGCACUGUCUCAACGAGAGACUCGGUGAAAUUUUAGUACCUGUGAAGAUGCAGGUUACCCGCGACAGGACGGAAAGACCCCAUGGAGCUUUACUGCAGUUUGAUAUUGAGUGUCUGUACCACAUGUACAGGAUAGGUAGGAGUCUAAGAGAUCGGGACGCCAGUUUCGAAGGAGACGCUGUUGGGAUACUACCCUUGUGUUAUGGCCACUCUAACCCAGAUAGGUGAUCCCUAUCGGAGACAGUGUCUGACGGGCAGUUUGACUGGGGCGGUCGCCUCCUAAAAGGUAACGGAGGCGCCCAAAGGUUCCCUCAGAAUGGUUGGAAAUCAUUCGCAGAGUGUAAAGGUAUAAGGGAGCUUGACUGCGAGAGCUACAACUCGAGCAGGGACGAAAGUCGGGCUUAGUGAUCCGGUGGUUCCGUAUGGAAGGGCCAUCGCUCAACGGAUAAAAGCUACCCUGGGGAUAACAGGCUUAUCUCCCCCAAGAGUUCACAUCGACGGGGAGGUUUGGCACCUCGAUGUCGGCUCGUCGCAUCCUGGGGCUGUAGUCGGUCCCAAGGGUUGGGCUGUUCGCCCAUUAAAGCGGCACGCGAGCUGGGUUCAGAACGUCGUGAGACAGUUCGGUCCCUAUCCGUCGCGGGCGUAGGAAAUUUGAGAGGAUCUGCUCCUAGUACGAGAGGACCAGAGUGGACUUACCGCUGGUGUACCAGUUGUCUUGCCAAAGGCAUCGCUGGGUAGCUAUGUAGGGAAGGGAUAAACGCUGAAAGCAUCUAAGUGUGAAACCCACCUCAAGAUGAGAUUUCCCAUGAUUAUAUAUCAGUAAGAGCCCUGAGAGAUGAUCAGGUAGAUAGGUUAGAAGUGGAAGUGUGGCGACACAUGUAGCGGACUAAUACUAAUAGCUCGAGGACUUAUCCAA